ACGGUGGUGAAUACCUCAACGAUUAUACAUAUGUUAAUUAUCAUCAAGUUUGGGGGUAUCACCCAAAUUCGUCAUGGAGCUAUACUUAUGAAGACCAAUACUACGCUUCAAAUCCAACAUACACACCGGAAUUUUCAUGUCCACCUCCAUUGCCACAAGAAGAAAAGCCAAAUCCGAGGGAUGUAAUAUUGAAGGGCAUAGCAAACCUAGAGGAGAUGAGGAUUAACCAAGAGCUGUCAACCCAAAAUUUUAAUAAUCUGAUGGAACAACUCGUCACUACCUCAACCAAUGGUCCUCAAUACAUGGCUUCCGAGACUGAGACAGAUAAUUCAAGGUUAGAGGAAUUGUGGUCCAAGUUCAUAGCAUCAAAUGAGGAGAGGAGGAUUAAUCAAGAGCGG
This 398-nucleotide long non-coding RNA is filed under the name Panax ginseng (ginseng). RNAcentral's name for it is "long non-coding RNA (PGIN_LNC017128)". Lineage: Eukaryota; Viridiplantae; Streptophyta; Magnoliopsida; Apiales; Araliaceae. The record is from RNAcentral.